Molecule: ribosomal RNA, 253 nt
Filed under: uncultured bacterium
Lineage: Bacteria
Description: partial 16S ribosomal RNA
Rfam family: Bacterial small subunit ribosomal RNA
Source: RNAcentral
UACAGAGGUCCCAAGCGUUGUUCGGAUUCACUGGGCGUAAAGGGUGCGUAGGUGGCUUGGUAAGUUUGAUGUGAAAUCUCCGGGCUUAACCCGGAAAUGGCAUUGAAUACUAUUGAGCUGGAGGUUUGGAGGGGGGACUGGAAUUCUCGGUGUAGCAGUGAAAUGCGUAGAUAUCGAGAGGAACACCUGCGGCGAAGGCGGGUUGCUGGGCUGACACUGACGCUGAAGUGCGAAAGCUAGGGGAGCGAACGGG